AGAUAUAUAAGUUUAUAGGGGGUGGUGGGUAAAUUUUGAAAAGCUGAAAGUGGAAAGGUGAGUCAUCAUCUCACUAUUUCCCUUAGCUUGACAUGUGCUCCACCCCAAAGUCCGUUUCUCUUGUUUUCUUUACUACGCCAGAAGGUUCUUGGUUCAUUUUCUUUGUUUCUUUGUUUUCUUUUUCUCUUUGCUCUUACAUGGCAAACACCUCUCUCUCACUAUUUCACUGAAACAAUAAAUCUCACUCUAAAGAAGAAAUUAAACGAUUAGCCCUAAGGUUUCAACUUUAAAGUUUGUGGGUGACGAGAUCGAGAACGAGAACACGGACACUUGAGCUCCUCUUAUACAAAUCUCUUGUGUCUUCUGUUUUCAGUGCACAGGUUUUUCCUUGGAAGCAGCUAAAGUAUUAGAGGUGCCAAGGAUUCUGUGAUUCUCGUUGUUAGAAUGUAUAGUUUUUGUUAUAUAAUAGUCUAGCUCUUUUGUUGUACAGGAGGAAUCAAGAUAUGCUUGAUCCUUUUGAGCACUGAUGUAAUUCAGAACCUCAGUUUGUUUUGAACCCUAGUUGUAUGUCUUGGGGUUAGGUUUGUAAAUAAUAGUUUUGCUAAAAGUUUAGUUAUGUAACAAUUACUGAAUACUUUAAGUUUCAGCCAAAUUGUAAUAUUGCAAGUUCGAAAUGAAAAGAAGUUUCAAAGUUUUGAUA
Quercus robur (English oak) is the source of this 700-nucleotide long non-coding RNA. RefSeq lists it as uncharacterized. Lineage: Eukaryota; Viridiplantae; Streptophyta; Magnoliopsida; Fagales; Fagaceae. The transcript is spliced from 3 exons. The record is from RefSeq and is a predicted model, not a curated record.